GUCUACGGCCAUACCACCCUGAACGCACCCAAUCUCAUCUGAUCUCGGAAGCUAAGCAGGGUCGGGCCUGGUUAGUACUUGGAUGGGAGGCGAAUGGUUCCUUCUCAU
This 108-nucleotide ribosomal RNA is filed under the name Camelus dromedarius (Arabian camel). The record is from RNAcentral. RNAcentral also lists the same sequence under 1 other name. Lineage: Eukaryota; Metazoa; Chordata; Mammalia; Artiodactyla; Camelidae.